UACGUAGGGUGCAAGCGUUGUCCGGAAUUAUUGGGCGUAAAGAGCUCAUAGGCGGUCUGUCGCGUCGGCUGUGAAAACCCGGGGCUCAACCCCGGGCCUGCAGUCGAUACGGGCAGACUAGAGUGCGGUAGGGGAGACUGGAAUUCCUGGUGUAGCGGUGAAAUGCGCAGAUAUCAGGAGGAACACCGGUGGCGAAGGCGGGUCUCUGGGCCGUAACUGACGCUGAGACGCGAAAGCGUGGGGAGCAAACAGG
This 253-nucleotide ribosomal RNA is filed under the name uncultured bacterium. Its description in RNAcentral is "partial 16S ribosomal RNA". It matches the Rfam family "Bacterial small subunit ribosomal RNA", at positions 524 to 776 of the family's 1533-position model. The record is from RNAcentral.